UACAGAGGUCCCAAGCGUUGUUCGGAUUCAUUGGGCGUAAAGGGCGCGUAGGCGGCAAGGCAAGUCGGGUGUGAAAGCUUGGGGCUUAACCCCGAAAGGGCACUCGAAACUGCCCUGCUAGAGGGCCGGAGAGGAGAUCGGAAUUCAUGGUGUAGCAGUGAAAUGCGUAGAGAUCAUGAGGAAGACCAGUGGCGAAGGCGGGUCUCUGGACAGUUCCUGACACUGAGACACGAAGGCCAGGGGAGCAAACGGG
RNAcentral lists this ribosomal RNA (253 nucleotides) under uncultured bacterium. RNAcentral describes it as "partial 16S ribosomal RNA". It matches the Rfam family "Bacterial small subunit ribosomal RNA", at positions 524 to 776 of the family's 1533-position model. The record is from RNAcentral.